RNAcentral lists this ribosomal RNA (266 nucleotides) under Staphylococcus aureus. RNAcentral's name for it is "partial 16S ribosomal RNA". It matches the Rfam family "Bacterial small subunit ribosomal RNA", at positions 1 to 256 of the family's 1533-position model. The record is from RNAcentral. Lineage: Bacteria; Bacillati; Bacillota; Bacilli; Caryophanales; Staphylococcaceae.
UUUAUGGAGAGUUUGAUCCUGGCUCAGGAUGAACGCUGGCGGCGUGCCUAAUACAUGCAAGUCGAGCGAACGGACGAGAAGCUUGCUUCUCUGAUGUUAGCGGCGGACGGGUGAGUAACACGUGGAUAACCUACCUAUAAGACUGGGAUAACUUCGGGAAACCGGAGCUAAUACCGGAUGAUAUUUUGAACCGCAUGGUUCAAAAGUGAAAGACGGUCUUGCUGUCACUUAUAGAUGGAUCCGCGCUGCAUUAGCUAGUUGGUAAG